RNAcentral lists this ribosomal RNA (496 nucleotides) under uncultured bacterium. RNAcentral describes it as "bacterial SSU rRNA". It matches the Rfam family "Bacterial small subunit ribosomal RNA", at positions 903 to 1397 of the family's 1533-position model. The record is from RNAcentral.
AAAGGAAUUGACGGGGACCCGCACAAGCGGUGGAGCAUGUGGUUUAAUUCGAAGCAACGCGAAGAACCUUACCUGAUCUUGACAUCCUGCUGACCAUCUUUUGUAAUGAAAGACUUCCUUCGGGACAGCAGAGACAGGUGGUGCAUGGUUGUCGUCAGCUCGUGUCGUGAGAUGUUGGGUUAAGUCCCGCAACGAGCGCAACCCUUGUCCUUAGUUGCCAGCGGUCCGGCCGGGCACUCUAGGGAGACUGCCAGGGACAACCUGGAGGAAGGUGGGGACGACGUCAAAUCAUCAUGCCCCUUAUGACCAGGGCUACACACGUGCUACAAUGGCGUAAACAAAGAGAUGCAAACCUGUGAAGGGGAGCCAACCUCAAAAAUAACGUCUCAGUUCGGACUGUAGUCUGCAACCCGACUACACGAAGCUGGAAUCGCUAGUAAUCGCGAAUCAGAAUGUCGCGGUGAAUACGUUCCCGGGUCUUGUACACACCGCCCGU